Molecule: ribosomal RNA, 232 nt
Filed under: uncultured bacterium
Lineage: Bacteria
Description: partial 16S ribosomal RNA
Rfam family: Bacterial small subunit ribosomal RNA
Source: RNAcentral
UGAGUAACCUGCCCUUCACUCUGGGAUAACUCCGGGAAACCGGGGCUAAUACUGGAUAUGACUCGAACAGGCAUCUGUUUCGGGUGGAAAGAUUUAUUAGUGGAGGAUGGACUCGCGGCCUAUCAGCUUGUUGGUGAGGUAAUGGCUCACCAAGGCGACGACGGGUAGCCGGCCUGAGAGGGUGACCGGCCACACUGGGACUGAGAUACGGCCCAGACCUCCUACGGGAGCA